CCUACGGGAGGCAGCAGUGGGGAAUCUUCGGCAAUGGGCGCAAGCCUGACCGAGCCAUGCCGCGUGAGCGAUGAAGGCCUUAGGGUUGUAAAGCUCUUUCGCCAGGGAUGAUAAUGACAGUACCUGGUAAAGAAACCCCGGCUAACUCCGUGCCAGCAGCCGCGGUAAUACAGAGGGUGCAAGCGUUAAUCGGAAUUACUGGGCGUAAAGCGUGCGCAGGCGGUGAUGUAAGACAGAUGUGAAAUCCCCGGGCUCAACCUGGGAACUGCGUUUGUGACUGCAUCACUCGAGUACGGCAGAGGGAGGUGGAAUUCCGCGUGUAGCAGUGAAAUGCGUAGAUAUGCGGAGGAACACCGAUGGCGAAGGCAGCCUCCUGGGCCAGUACUGACGCUCAUGCACGAAAGCGUGGGGAGCAAACAGGAUUAGAUACCCUGGUAGUCCACGCCCUAAACGAUGUCAACUAGUUGUUCGGUGAGGAGACUCAUUGAGUAACGCAGCUAACGCGUGGAGUUGACCGCCUGGGGAGUACGGCCGCAAGGUUAAAACUCAAAUGAAUUGACGG
This 562-nucleotide ribosomal RNA is filed under the name uncultured bacterium. RNAcentral's name for it is "bacterial SSU rRNA". It matches the Rfam family "Bacterial small subunit ribosomal RNA", at positions 338 to 916 of the family's 1533-position model. The record is from RNAcentral.